RNAcentral lists this ribosomal RNA (403 nucleotides) under uncultured bacterium. Its description in RNAcentral is "partial 16S ribosomal RNA". It matches the Rfam family "Bacterial small subunit ribosomal RNA", at positions 28 to 526 of the family's 1533-position model. The record is from RNAcentral.
GACGAACGCUGGCGGCGUGCCUAAUACAUGCAAGUCGAACGCAGUGGGGACGGGUGAGUAACAAGUGGGUAACCUCCCAUGAGAGGGGAUAAAACAUGGAAACAGGUGCUAAAACGAUACUGAUGGAUGGACCCGCGGUGAAUUAGCUCGUUGGUGAGGAAACGGCGCACCAAGGCUACGAUGCAUAGCCGACCUGAGAGGGUGAUCGGCCACACUGGGACGGAGACACGGCCCAGACUCCUACGGGAGGCAGCCGUAGGGAAUCUUCGGCAAUGGACGAAAGUCUGACCUAGCAACGUCGCGUGAGUGAAGAAGGUGUUCGGAUCGUAAAACUCUGUUGUUAGGGAAGCGGUAUCUAACCAGAAAGCCACGGCUAACUACGUGCCAGCAGCCGCGGUAAUAC